UCAUAGUAUUUUUUCAAAUUCAUGAUGUCGUAAGGGAAAAUAAUGAUAAUACCUUACUAUGAGUGUCGUCCAAAUCUGGUGCCAGAAGACUCGGUAAGACCAGAGACGCAAACGUUAAUCAUCAUAAACAGGCGUAAAGGGUUUGUAGGCAGCUUUUAUAAGAUUAUUUUUUUUAAAAAUAAAGGGUAAUCUAAAUUGAAAGCUAGAAUCAAAAAGAGGUUAUAGUGUAUAACGCCUAGAGGAGGGCUGAUAUCCAUAGAUCCUAGGCAGAAUACUCAGGGCGAAGGCCACUCUCCACUAAUGAUUGACGCUGAGAAACGAAGGUUAGGGUAGGAAAUAGGAUUAGAUACCCCGGUACUCCUUUCUGUAAACGAUGAAUGGUAGUCAUUAGUUAAAUUAAAAUAACUAGAGGCGAAGUUAACACAAUAAUCAUUCCGCCUUGUGAGUACUACUGCAAAGUAGAAAACAAAAAAAUUAGUCGGUCUCGAAGCAAACGGAGUGAAGCAUGUUAUUUA
RNAcentral lists this ribosomal RNA (515 nucleotides) under Ganoderma leucocontextum. Its description in RNAcentral is "partial small subunit ribosomal RNA". It matches the Rfam family "Bacterial small subunit ribosomal RNA", at positions 412 to 948 of the family's 1533-position model. Lineage: Eukaryota; Fungi; Basidiomycota; Agaricomycetes; Polyporales; Polyporaceae. The record is from RNAcentral.